This 261-nucleotide ribosomal RNA is filed under the name uncultured archaeon. RNAcentral describes it as "partial 16S ribosomal RNA". It matches the Rfam family "Archaeal small subunit ribosomal RNA", at positions 748 to 1008 of the family's 1478-position model. The record is from RNAcentral.
CAGCCGUAAACAAUGUGCGUUAGGUGUGUCGGUAACCACGCGUUACUGAUGCGCCGAAGAGAAAUCGUGAAACGCACCACCUGGGAAGUACGGUCGCAAGGCUGAAACUUAAAGGAAUUGGCGGGGGAGCACCACAACAGGUGGAGCCUGCGGUUUAAUUGGAUUCAACGCCGGACACCUCACCGGAUAAGACAGCUGAAUGAUUGUCAAUCUGAAGGUUUUACAUGACUAGCUGAGAGGUGGUGCAUGGCGUCAGUGACU